Molecule: long non-coding RNA, 1750 nt
Organism: Capra hircus (goat)
Lineage: Eukaryota; Metazoa; Chordata; Mammalia; Artiodactyla; Bovidae
Exons: 3
Source: RefSeq, a predicted model, not a curated record
UCAGAAAUUUAAUUUCAACACCUGGAAUAAGAAAGCCUUGAUUAAUAGCUUAAAGUUGGUGGAGUUGAGUGACCAAUAUAAUUUCUACCAAGGAUGAAGCUUUAGGACCUUCUUCUCUUCCUUUGGUCAAGAUUCACUUAAUCAUCCUUUUUUUGUUGUUGUUUCAACAAUUACUUUUUCAUUUGUUACUGAGAACCGGUCCUGGAUUUUGUGAUCACGAAAGAUUUGCUUUUCUGUACCAUCAAUGUUAAUGCUCUUAAGUAAUAUUUUUUGGAGACGUUAAUUCAUUUCAGUGAUUUUUUAAAACUAUUCCCAGUCACAGAGCACCAAAUACAUUUUAUAUGAGGGAUGGGAAUCCACUUCCAAAAAAUAGUAAUGUAAAAGCUAAUAAGAUAAAAGCAUAACAAAGUCAACAUAGUCACACAGAAGCAAGUCAUAGGGUGUCCAUGGACCUACAGAGGGGCCCUAGUGUUAAUACCAUACCAUGUGCUUGAUCAGUGGUCACUUGUUUCCUGAGCAUCAGCAUGUCUCUAAGAUUUGCUCCAGUCAAUCAGGCAAAUGCAGAAUGCCAUUAAAGUGAUAAAUUGGAACAGCCCACACAGAGUUGUUGCAGUCUGUCAUGUCAGGUCCCACUUUAGAGAGAUUUUUAACUUUAUGGAUCACUGAUUUGAUAAACCAAAAUGAGUCCUUUAAAGCUCUCCUUUUUUAUCAGGUUGCUGAACUUAUCAGCAUUGCAUGCUCAAUGAAACUCUCUUUCCUGGAGUCUGAACACCUCAGAGGUGACCGGUGUGUCUUCUUGAUGGAGUGAUGUAUUUACUUGUUUCUGCUGUUCAUUCCAUGAAGAGCCUGAGAGAGAUGGAUUAUCACCGUAUCCGUUGUACAGAUGCAGAAGCAAAAGCUGAGACAGAUGCGGAACCCCACUGUGGUCACAGUGAAAAACGGUGCAGUGGCCACCUGUAAGUCCGUGCAGCUGGGACCAUUUAUUACCACCACUGUGUGUGUUCUGAGCUCCAGAUAUAUGCGUGUAUAUUGAAAAUACACAAUUCAGAUCCACCGACUUCCCAGGGCCUGUCUCAAUCCUAAAAUGCAUGCUGUUUCUAAGAGUCAUUCCUUGGAAUUUGAAAGACCUUGUGUAAGGAGAUCAGCCCUGGGAUUUCUUUGGAAGGAAUGAUGCUAAAGCUGAAACUCCAAUACUUUGGCCACCUCAUGCGAAGAGUUGACUCAUUGGAAAAGACUCUGAUGCUGGGAGGGAUUGGGGGGCAGGAGGAGAAGGGGACGACAGAGGAUGAGAUAGCUGGAUGGCAUCACUGGCUCGAUGGACGUGAGUCUGAGUGAACUCCGGGAGUUGGUGAUGGACAGGAGGCCUGGCGUGCUGCAAUUCAUGAGGUCGCAAAGAGUUGGACAUGGCUGAGCGACUGAACUGAACUGUGUAAUAAAAAAUUCCUGUUAAAAUAGCAUGCCGCCUUAAAAAAUUAACCCUUUAGCAUCCAUUAAGGCUUAAGUGUUAAAUCAUAACCAUGAAGUGUGAUGGCUAAAUGCCUAAAUGAUUUAUUACGAAGAAGCCAAAGGCUUCUAGAUAUGAAGGAAUCCAGGGACAGAGCCAAAGUUUGAAUGAUUCUAAUGGUGCAAAAAUAUCAAUAAAUUUUUGGAUAUCCCUCUCUUUCCCUUUAUCUAUCCUACUCGCUAGUAUUUGUUGAUAUAUUUAAGUGUUAAUCAUGUCAGAUACUAUAAAGUCAUCAAGGAUAGUAUA